GACGAACGCUGGCGGCGUGCCUAAUACAUGCAAGUAGAACGCUGAAGGAGGAGCUUGCUCUUCUGGAUGAGUUGCGAACGGGUGAGUAACGCGUAGGUAACCUGCCUGGUAGCGGGGGAUAACUAUUGGAAACGAUAGCUAAUACCGCAUAACAGUAGAUGUUGCAUGACAUUUGCUUAAAAGGUGCAAUUGCACCACUACAGAUGGACCUGCGUUGUAUUAGCUAGUUGGUGGGGUAACGGCUCACCAAGGCGACGAUACAUAGCCGACCUGAGAGGGUGAUCGGCCACACUGGGACUGAGACACGGCCCAGACUCCUACGGGAGGCAGCAGUAGGGAAUCUUCGGCAAUGGACGGAAGUCUGACCGAGCAACGCCGCGUGAGUGAAGAAGGUUUUCGGAUCGUAAAGCUCUGUUGUAAGAGAAGAACGAGUGUGAGAGUGGAAAGUUCACACUGUGACGGUAUCUUACCAGAAAGGGACGGCUAACUACGUG
RNAcentral lists this ribosomal RNA (494 nucleotides) under uncultured bacterium. Its description in RNAcentral is "partial 16S ribosomal RNA". It matches the Rfam family "Bacterial small subunit ribosomal RNA", at positions 28 to 507 of the family's 1533-position model. The record is from RNAcentral.